AAGUCGUAACAAGGUUUCCGUAGGUGAACCUGCGGAAGGAUCAUUAACACGUUAUCCACGUAUCAACCAAUCGAGAACUUGUUUUCACGUCUCCCUUUGCAAUUUGAAUGAAUUGGCUAACCAGUUUGAGGGAAUUGAUGUGGAUUGCAUUCAUUUGCAAUCGGCCUUCCUGGUAUACUUAUGAGCUAUUGAAAAAUAGUUUGUUAACAAUUGUAUCUUAUUGCUGAAAGGCCAAAUUUCUUUCGAUAUUUUGAUCUCCAUCAUGAUCAAUAAAGUAUUGAAGGAGCAAAACCUUAUAAAACUAUUUUCACCACCUUUUUGCUAGUUGACUUUUUAUAUGUGAUUGUUUUGCUUAAUUGCAAUGUAGUCGCACGUUUAAUUACUUGAACGUUAAAAAAUACAACUCUUAGCAAUGGAUAUCUUGGUUCUC
This 430-nucleotide unclassified non-coding RNA is filed under the name fungal sp. RNAcentral describes it as "partial internal transcribed spacer region". The stretch from base 1 to 46 matches the Rfam family "Eukaryotic small subunit ribosomal RNA", at positions 1786 to 1831 of the family's 1831-position model. The record is from RNAcentral. Lineage: Eukaryota; Fungi.